This 406-nucleotide ribosomal RNA is filed under the name uncultured bacterium. RNAcentral describes it as "partial 16S ribosomal RNA". It matches the Rfam family "Bacterial small subunit ribosomal RNA", at positions 30 to 526 of the family's 1533-position model. The record is from RNAcentral.
AUUGAACGCUGGCGGCAGGCCUAACACAUGCAAGUCGAACGAGUGGCGGACGGGUGAGUAAUGUCAGGGAAACUGCAUGAGGGAGGGGGAUAAGUACUGGAAACGGUAGCUAAUACCGCAUACCAUAAGAUGUGCCAACAUUGGAGUAGCUAGUUGGUGGGGGAACGGCUCACCCAGGCGACGAUCCGUAGCUGGUCUGAGAGGAUGACCGGCCACACUGGAACUGAGUCACAGUCCAGACUCCUACGGGAGGGAGCAGUGGGGAAUAUUGCACAAUGUGCGCAAGCCUUAUGCAGCCAUGCCGCGUGUAUGAAGAAGGCCGUCGGGUUUUAAAGUACUUUCAGCGGUGAGGCGUUACCCGCAGAAGAAGCACCGGCUAACGCCGUGCCAGCAGCCGCGGUAAUAC